Molecule: RNA transcript, 2432 nt
Organism: Salvia miltiorrhiza (redroot sage)
Lineage: Eukaryota; Viridiplantae; Streptophyta; Magnoliopsida; Lamiales; Lamiaceae
Gene name: transcription factor EGL1-like
Exons: 10
Source: RefSeq, a predicted model, not a curated record
UUACUGUAAUUAGCACUUUGCAAAAAGUGAGAACGAUUCGGCCCCAUUAACCUCCCUCCAUUCUGCACCAACCUUCACCUCGUUUUCUCACUCUACAUAUGCUACUUAAAAGUGAUUCCCCAGAUAAUUUUGGGAUGAAGGGGUAUCACAUUUCAUAUGAUACUUGCCACACGGCCCACACAACAUGGAAUCAUGCAUGCAUGCCACGGGAGCUUGUCUUAAAUCUUGACAUAUGAAGAUAAAAUUUCAUGUAAUCAUUUCUUGUUUUUCCAGUGUGGAGGGAUCUUUACCCCAAAAUGUUUUUUAACUGUUGAGUAGAUGAAGAAGAAGAAAACUUGAGGUCAAGAAAAAGCUCAUUUUCUGGUAGGGUUUGCUGCUGGUAGAGAGAGAGCAGGGCUCGAUGAUGGCAAGUGGAAACCAAAACCAGCAAGAAAUGCCUCAGAAUCUAAUGAUGCAGCUUGCUCUUGCUGUUAGAAGCAUUCAGUGGAGCUAUGCAAUCUUCUGGUCCGUUUCAUCCAGACAACCAGGGAUGUUGGAAUGGUGCGAAGGUUACUACAACGGUGAUAUCAAAACACGAAAGACAGUUCAGGCUGCUGAGGUGAACAUGGAUCAGUUGGGGCUACAGAGAAGUGAUCAAUUGAGAGAACUUUAUGAGUCUUUGUCUCUAGGCGAAACCAAACCUCAAGCUAAGAGGCCUACAGCUGCAUUAUCCCCCGAAGAUCUCACUGAUGCAGAGUGGUAUUUCUUGGUUUGCAUGUCUUUCAUGUUCAACACCACCGAUCAAGGGUUGCCUGCAAGAACAUUAGCUACGAAUCAAAUGAUAUGGCUCUGCAAUGCUCACCGGGCUGACACCAAAUUCUUCUCUCGUUCUUUGCUUGCGAAGAGUGCAUCAAUCAAGACUAUUGUGUGCUUUCCACAUUUAGGAGGCGUGGUUGAGCUCGGAACGACUGAACUAGUUCCAGAGGAUCCAAAUCUGAUUCGGCAUAUAAGUUCAUUCCUGGAGAGUCCUUCUGUGACUGUUCCUGUGAUUCCUAACCUUGUCUUUGACAACAGUUGUAACCAUAAUGGUUUCAAUCUUGAACGGCUCGACCAUGCUCAUCUUCCCGAAGAGGGUCUUGAUCGGCUCAUGGAUGAUCCAUACAUGGAGAUCUGUACUCCAAAUAACUCAGAUGAUUUUGCAGACAAUCUGCUGAGAGAGGAGACGAAUUUGGUGGAAGGCGUAGACGCUGAGGCUUCUGAAAUACAAAGCUGGCCAGUAAUGGAAGAUGCAGUCAGUAAUUGCUUAAAUAAUUCUGUGAAUUCCAGUGACUGUGUGUCUCAAAGCGAGGGAGAACCCGAGACGAUAAUCCCACAUUCGGAUGGGAAGAAGGAGAAUAAAAGCUGUAUGGAGGAAUGCAAUCAGAAGACAACCUCUGAAUUUCAAGGAAAUGAUGUUCGUUACCAGAGUGUUAUUUCCAACCUCCUGAAGAGUUCUCACCAGUUGAUUCUUGGUCCUUACAUCAGAAACGGGAGUAGAGAAUCGAGCUUCGUUUUCUGGAGGAAGCAUGGGGCUCCGGGACAACAAAGAGGAACCCCACAGAAGCUACUCAAGAAAGUACUCUUUGAAGUGGCUAGAAUGCAUCAAAGUUUCAGGGCUGAAUCUGAGAGGCAGCACAACAGCUGUUCCAAACGGGAAGCUGAUGAAAUCGAUAGAAACCAUGUCAUGUCUGAACGCAAGCGCAGAGAGAAAAUAAACGACAGAUUCAUGAUUCUUGGAUCCCUAGUCCCAUCUGGUGGAAAGGUUGACAAAGUAUCGGUGCUUGAUCACACGAUAGAGUACUUGAGAGAGCUCGAGAGAAGAGUUGAGGAGCUGGAGUCCUACAAGAAAGCAAUGGAGCGAGAGUCAACAACACACAGCAAAUCUCAGGAUGCCAUUGAGAGGACCUCUGAUAACUACGGUAAUGAUAACAAUCCAAAGAAGCCAGCAACGAACAAGAGAAAGGCAGCCUGUCAUAAUCAUAAGGACAGAACAGGAGCCGAAAACAUCAAAGCUCGGUUGAGAGACUCCUCCUCCCCUGCUGAUAACAUAACCGUCACUGUCUCAGACAAGGUCGCCUUGAUUGAGGUAACGUGUUCCUUGAAGGAGCACGUGUUGGUUGAAGUUAUGGAGACGCUGAGAAAGAUAUGUCUUGAGACUCAGACUAUCCAAUCAUCCACCAACAACGGGACCCUCUCUAUCAUUGUGAAUGCCAAGUGCAAGGGACUGAAAUCUCCAUCAGCAGUAGUGAUCAGACAUGCUCUUCAGAAAGUUAUCAGGAAGAGUUGAAGAUGUUUUCUCAGAAUCUGUGUGUAGCUUGUGUGUGAGAACCUCUAAUUAGCCCAGCAGCCGCUCCGAGAUGAGAUCUGAAUAAAUCUCGCUCAUAUAUCGUGGGAAAGAUAAAUCGUCGUUGCAU